RNAcentral lists this ribosomal RNA (678 nucleotides) under Bacteroidales bacterium. Its description in RNAcentral is "partial 23S ribosomal RNA". It matches the Rfam family "Bacterial large subunit ribosomal RNA", at positions 1 to 690 of the family's 2925-position model. The record is from RNAcentral. Lineage: Bacteria; Pseudomonadati; Bacteroidota; Bacteroidia; Bacteroidales.
AGAGAAGUUAAUAAGAGUACACGGGGGAUGCCUAGGCUCUUGGAGGCGAAGAAGGACGUGACAAGCUGCGAAAAUCCACGGGGAUUGGCACAUACGAAUAGAUCCGUGGGAAUCCGAAUGGGGGAACCCAAUACGUAGGCGACGUAUUACCGCAAUAUAGCGGGGCGAACGCAGGGAACUGAAACAUCUAAGUACCUGUAGGAAGAGAAAAUAACAAUGAUUCCGGGAGUAGUGGUGAGCGAAACUGGAAAAGCCCAAACCAAUGAUGUUACGGCAUUAUUGGGGUAGUAGGACCACGAUAUACUAUUAAACGACAUAUAAGAAUUAUCUGGGAAGGUAAACCAUAGGAGGUGAUAGUCCUGUAUUAGACAUGUUAGUUUAAGGUUAGUGGUAUCCUGAGUAAGGCGGGACCGGAGGAAUCCUGUCUGAAUCAACCGGCACCAUCCGGUAAGGCUAAAUACUACCAAGAGACCGAUAGUGAACCAGUACUGUGAAGGAAAGGUGAAAAGAACCGUGAAUAACGGAGUGCAAUAGAACCUGAAACUGUGUACUUACAAGCGGUCGGAGCCACUGUUAGUGGUGACGGCGUGCCUUUUGCAUAAUGAGCCUACGAGUUAAUGUUGUUAGCGAGGUUAAGGUAUUAAGUAUCGUAGCCGAAGCGAAAGCGAGUCUGAACAG